This 497-nucleotide ribosomal RNA is filed under the name uncultured bacterium. Its description in RNAcentral is "partial 16S ribosomal RNA". It matches the Rfam family "Bacterial small subunit ribosomal RNA", at positions 28 to 507 of the family's 1533-position model. The record is from RNAcentral.
GAUGAACGCUGGCGGCGUGCCUAAUACAUGCAAGUCGAGCGAACAGACGAGGAGCUUGCUCCUCUGACGUUAGCGGCGGACGGGUGAGUAACACGUGGAUAACCUACCUAUAAGACUGGGAUAACUUCGGGAAACCGCAGCUAAUACCGGAUAAUAUAUUGAACCGCAUGGUUCAAUAGUGAAAGACGGUUUUGCUGUCACUUAUAGAUGGAUCCGCGCCGCAUUAGCUAGUUGGUAAGGUAACGGCUUACCAAGGCGACGAUGCGUAGCCGACCUGAGAGGGUGAUCGGCCACACUGGAACUGAGACACGGUCCAGACUCCUACGGGAGGCAGCAGUAGGGAAUCUUCCGCAAUGGGCGGAAGCCUGACGGAGCAACGCCGCGUGAGUGAUGAAGGUCUUCGGAUCGUAAAACUCUGUUAUUAGGGAAGAACAAAUGUGUAAGUAACUAUGCACGUCUUGACGGUACCUAAUCAGAAAGCCACGGCUAACUACGUG